RNAcentral lists this ribosomal RNA (482 nucleotides) under uncultured bacterium. Its description in RNAcentral is "partial 16S ribosomal RNA". It matches the Rfam family "Bacterial small subunit ribosomal RNA", at positions 28 to 507 of the family's 1533-position model. The record is from RNAcentral.
GAUGAACGCUAGCGGCAGGCCUAAUACAUGCAAGUCGAACGAGAUUAAGAGGCUUGCUUCUUAUGAAAGUGGCGCACGGGUGCGUAACGCGUAUGCAACCUACCUUAAUCAGGGGGAUAGCCCGAAGAAAUUCGGAUUAAGACCGCAUAAAAACACAGGAUAGCAUUAUCCAAUGUUCAAAUAUUUAUAGGAUUAAGAUGGGCAUGCGUGUCAUUAGCUAGUUGGCGGGGUAACGGCCCACCAAGGCGACGAUGACUAGGGGAUCUGAGAGGACGACCCCCCACACUGGUACUGAGACACGGACCAGACUCCUACGGGAGGCAGCAGUAAGGAAUAUUGGUCAAUGGAGGGAACUCUGAACCAGCCAUGCCGCGUGCAGGAAGACAGCCCUCUGGGUCGUAAACUGCUUUUAUUCGGGAAUAAACCUUUCUACGUGUAGGAAGCUGAAUGUACCGAAGGAAUAAGGAGCGGCUAACUCCGUG